Long non-coding RNA from Oreochromis aureus, 908 nucleotides. RefSeq lists it as uncharacterized. The transcript has 3 exons. The record is from RefSeq and is a predicted model, not a curated record. Lineage: Eukaryota; Metazoa; Chordata; Actinopteri; Cichliformes; Cichlidae.
AGCUGGUUAAUGGACCAAUAACAACACAAGCAAGAGCAGCCCACAGACUGUUUGUCACACUGCCCCCUGGUGACAGUGAAAAACUACAGCAUGUCGACAAUGGUCUGCUAGGCCAUGAUGGUACAGUGUUCCUCAUGCACGUCCCACUAAGCGGAUCCACGUCUUCCACAAUGACAAACGGAGCCUCCUCCAAUGUCACGAUGGACAGGUGGUCAUCCUCUCUGUUUGCUGGUCCCCCGUAUAGUUCAUAGCGAGGCCACACAUGGUACUUCAUGGACAGGGAACCGUUCUCCCAUUUACCCACCUGGAGAAACAUCGAGAAAACAAAAGAGACCACACUAUUCUCUGGUGAACACACCACUGGAGAUCCACACAGCGUUUCUCUAUUGGAGGUUUGAGGAUCUCCAACUGCCCCUAGGAGACGACCCCCGAGCCAACACGCCAAACCACCUCAACGGGCCAGUGAUGCUUUUUUGACAACUUUGCCAGCCACGGUGUACAAAGCUUUCUUCAACACCAGUUAAAUAGUUCAGGUUUAUAAAAAGAUCCUUCUUCAUCCUGCUCCCCGACUGUAGCACAAAUGAAUAAUGAUGGAAAGUCAAGCACCAAGAUCCACUUGGAAAAUGAGUCCCUACUUUCUCUCUAAAGAUACCAGGGUGGCUUUUUAGAGAGACAAUAGGGACUUCUACAGACUUCUUCUCAUAGCUUGUCCAGAAGUCGUAGAGAUCUUACCCCAGUUUCCUGAGUUUUAAUUAAAUCACAUUUUUAGAAGAACCCCACCUAAAGCCACUUCCUGCUAUCCCAAGUCGUGUUUUCACUAUCAAACUAAUAAUUCUAUCCUGGAACAACCUGAUUUCCUUUUCUAACUCCUGAAAACAGUUUUGUCCAAUAGCCAUUGUGUCACUGUG